GAUCCUGGCUCAGGACGAACGCUGGCGGCGCGCCUAACACAUGCAAGUCGAACGAGCGAGAGAGAGCUUGCUUUCUUGAGCGAGUGGCGAACGGGUGAGUAACGCGUGAGGAACCUGCCCUGGAGUGGGGGACAACAGUUGGAAACGACUGCUAAUACCGCAUAAGCCCACGGCCCGGCAUCGGGCUGCGGGAAAAGGAUUUAUUCGCUUCAGGAUGGACUCGCGUCCAAUUAGCUAGUUGGUG
This 244-nucleotide ribosomal RNA is filed under the name uncultured bacterium. RNAcentral describes it as "partial 16S ribosomal RNA". It matches the Rfam family "Bacterial small subunit ribosomal RNA", at positions 15 to 254 of the family's 1533-position model. The record is from RNAcentral.